RNAcentral lists this ribosomal RNA (497 nucleotides) under uncultured bacterium. Its description in RNAcentral is "partial 16S ribosomal RNA". It matches the Rfam family "Bacterial small subunit ribosomal RNA", at positions 28 to 507 of the family's 1533-position model. The record is from RNAcentral.
GAUGAACGCUGGCGGCGUGCCUAAUACAUGCAAGUCGAGCGAACAGACGAGGAGCUUGCUCCUCUGACGUUAGCGGCGGACGGGUGAGUAACACGUGGAUAACCUACCUAUCAGACUGGGAUAACUUCGGGAAACCGGAGCUAAUCCCGGAUAAUAUAUUGAACCGCAUGGUUCAAUAGUGAAAGACGGUUUUGCUGUCACUUAUAGAUGGAUCCGCGCCGCAUUAGCUAGUUGGUAAGGUAACGGCUUACCAAGGCAACGAUGCGUAGCCGACCUGAGAGGGUGAUCGGCCACACUGGAACUGAGACACGGUCCAGACUCCUACGGGAGGCAGCAGUAGGGAAUCUUCCGCAAUGGGCGAAAGCCUGACGGAGCAACGCCGCGUGAGUGAUGAAGGUCUUCGGAUCGUAAAACUCUGUUAUUAGGGAAGAACAAAUGUGUAAGUAACUAUGCACGUCUUGACGGUGCCUAAUCAGAAAGCCACGGCUAACUACGUG